UUCUAUUCAGGAAUAAGUCUAACACGCCCAAUUACCAUCUCAAGGCUUCAUGGAUAUCACGUUACAUGGAAUGAAAAAACAGCUCUUGGGUCAAGACACAGUUACAGCAGGCUGCAGUCUUGGGUCCAGGUGUGCGGUUACCAUGGCUCUCGUGAUGCCCUGCGGUAGCACUUUCUGCAUCCUCAUCAGCGACAAGCGUUCCCUCACUCCGAGUCAGGCUGAAACACCGUGGUUCAAAAGGGGAGAGAAGAUGUGGGAACGGCCUUGUCGCUCUGGGCUGCGGAGAGCCCUGCAGAGCGCGUCUGGGACAUGGACAGCGAACCAGAAUCUCUAGAAGCUUUCCAUAAAAUGGUGGCUGGGACUCAAGUGAUGAAGUACAGAGACAAAGGGAAACUAGAGCAACAAAAUAGUGGUUUUGGAAAGAAGGCCAAAAGAUAUAAAGAUGAGACAGAGAUUUUCAAGAUUGUGGAAAAGUUUCCAUUGACAACAGCAUAGGAAAGUAUUUUUGCACUUUAUAAUCUUAACCACUCUGUAAGGAGAGAGAAAGGAUCAGUUCCACAGACCCAAUUUCUACACACAACGUUUCAGUUUAUUCAAUAUGUUUCUUCUGAUCCAGUAACAUUUAGUCUCAUAAAGCAUUUGGGAAAUAUUGCAAGGACAAAGAAAGUGAAGCUUAAAUAAAAUAAGAGUGACUGAAUAGCUCACUGGACCUGUUGAGUUACGCAUUUUAAUUCUAGUCCAAUAGGAAGAAGAUACAAUAAGCCAAACCAAAACAAAGCUCCUUUUGUCUCAAUGAAGAUUCCUCUGAAGAAUACCCAACUGCAACUCAAGAAUAAAUGAGUUCAGUAAUGAGCAGAGAGAAGAAGCCUUUCCUGCUGAGAGGAAAGGAAACACGCCUUCUUAAAUCUGAAUCAAGGAGCCAAGGACCUGCCUUUGGGAAAGACAUGAAGAGUUCUGCACAUACACGACUAAGGACUGUACUGUAUGAUAAAGCUAGGGACAUUUCUUGAUGAUACUCUGAGUUUCUUACAAGAAGUUAUGAGAAAUAAAGAUCAGAUUAAAGGUCAGAGAGAAGGUCACUUAUUUUAAUUCCUCAUAGUGUUACUCAUAUCUUCUGAUUGAAGUUAUCCUGAUCGAAACCCACUAAAAUUGAAAACCAGGAUCUUCACUAGCUCAGCAUUCUGUUUCCUUUGGUUUUACUGAGUACAAGGUUUGUGUCAACAAAAUCUACCUCAUUAUACACUUGCCUUGGUGAAAAGCAGAGUGCUGUGCAAAGCAGGCUGUUCUGUGCACAAAUACAACGUGGAACAGUCAGUUGUGUGCCAUUUGGAUACACACAACUCUAACUAGCACUUGCUUGUGUGGCAAAUAAAGUCUCAUUAUCACCUCUCAGACAGGAAAUUUUCAAGUGAGUGAUUAUCCAGCCCUGGGUCUUCCACCUCUCCAGCACCUCAGGGUGUGGGAGCUACUCAAUUGCAUUUGCAUCUUUCCAAACAAUUACACUUCUCACUCUGCAGGCAAACGCAGGAGUUGGCAAAAAUAUUUUUCCCAACUGCUCCUUCACUUUGGCUGCUAUCCUUUAAAAAUAAAUGCACUUUUUGU
Zonotrichia albicollis (white-throated sparrow) is the source of this 1602-nucleotide non-coding RNA. Lineage: Eukaryota; Metazoa; Chordata; Aves; Passeriformes; Passerellidae. The record is from RefSeq and is a predicted model, not a curated record.